UGGAAGAAUCGCUAACACCGAUGGCA
Molecule: microRNA, 26 nt
Filed under: Tribolium castaneum (red flour beetle)
Lineage: Eukaryota; Metazoa; Arthropoda; Insecta; Coleoptera; Tenebrionidae
Description: tca-miR-3882-3p
Source: miRBase by way of RNAcentral